UCAUAUUCCAUUUCCCAGAAUCAGGUAUGGGAUCCUAUUUUCAACUUUCUUCAUUUGUAUGUAAAUUUUGUGAGACUAUAACCCAAACCCAGGAAUUUUGUGAGGCAAAUUGAAAAAAAGAAGAAGUCGUAUUAAGGAACAAAUGUAUUGGAUUAUGUGUUGUGUGCAUGGAGUUCAAUGAUCUGCAUGCAAUACAUGACCGGAUUCAUUGAAAUUUCUGAAGUGAUUGGAAAGGAACUUUAAGAGGUUUUUUUCAAUUACAAAGAAAUUGAGCUGACCAACCCAUCUUCUAACCUAGUUCAGACUGCAGAAUCUCACAUGUAUUAUAUGUGCUAUUUGUUGAGUUCUAGGCUCACUUUUUGACUAUUUAAACUUGGGAUUUCAAAUUGGAAGUCCUAAAGAAGUCUAGAUCUCAUUAGAAUGGGAGUUGGAGUUUUUAUGUGAUGGGAAAGGGUUAUGUGUAGUUCAAACCAUGAUAUGCCUUCUAAUAACAAACAUAAAAAGAACUUCUUUCCUCUAUUAAACAUUUGUUAUGCUGAUGGAAGCGAUACAUUGUGGGAUGCUUCCAACAAAUUGACUGUAUUUCAGUCGGUUACAUGUAUGAUCAGAAAUUCAGAAUAUAUCUCAAGUGUUUUAGCUUGCAAGUUACUUUUUUCCCUUAGCAUUUGUAGGGUAACUAGACAAAAAAAACUUAAAAACCACAUUGUUUCAAGAAAUAUUAAUUAUCUGGACUUCUAUGGCGCAGAAAUUCACCAUGUUCUGUCUAGCUCUUCAUCCAACAGAUCUCAAUUAUGGUAUUAUUGGACGUGAGUGGUCCUCUGCCUUAGAGCUUUGCAUACAUUUUGUUUUCACACUUUCUAUUCUGACACUGAUAAGCAAGUAAAUUGCAGAAAACUUCAUGACGGGUAAUCGUGUAGUUUUUGAUAUGGAGAACUUGAAAUUGGGUUGGUCUAAUUCAAAUUGUCAAGAUAUAAGUGAUAAUACAGAAGUAAAUCUUGCACCGCCUCCAAAUGCUAAAUCACCAAAUCCAUUGCCAACUAAUGAGCAACAUAGCAUCCCUAAUAAGCAUGCAGUUGCACCUGCUGUUGCUAGAAGGGCUUCCUCAAAAGCAUCCCAGCAUAUUCCCUCCCUGCUCCAUUUAUUGAGUUCAUUGGCAUUGCAACCGCAUAUUGGUCUCUGUGUUUUAUGGAUCUAAUAUUCUCUCUGGCUGGCCUACUCAAUUCUGCUUGUAAAUCCUGUCUGUCCCUGUCAAGCUCUUCCAACUUCCAGAGAUUUUCAGCUUUUUGAAGAUCAUUCUAUUGAUUGGGGCUGGUAGAGAAGUUUAUCUUCUUCAUGUAGCUGGCUCAUUUUGCUGCUAACUUUUGGUUUGCAUGGUAUUUAUAGUACAAUAGUUGUUGGUAGGUUUCUAAGAUUUUAUAUACUUUUGCACUCGGCAGAUUACCCGUUUUAUAUAAGAGGACAAAGUUUGGGAGGAAAAAUUUGAAUCAUCGAAUAUAAUCAAAUCAGAUCCAAUCAGAUGAAUUAAAAGUACAGGGUGCUUGCCAAACAACUCUGGAAAAGCAUCCUUUUCAAGGGGGCAAAUUAAGCUUAAUGAUAUCA
Molecule: unclassified non-coding RNA, 1599 nt
Filed under: Hevea brasiliensis (rubber tree)
Lineage: Eukaryota; Viridiplantae; Streptophyta; Magnoliopsida; Malpighiales; Euphorbiaceae
Source: RNAcentral